RNAcentral lists this ribosomal RNA (361 nucleotides) under uncultured Pelagibacterales bacterium. RNAcentral's name for it is "bacterial SSU rRNA". It matches the Rfam family "Bacterial small subunit ribosomal RNA", at positions 90 to 485 of the family's 1533-position model. The record is from RNAcentral. Lineage: Bacteria; Pseudomonadati; Pseudomonadota; Alphaproteobacteria; Candidatus Pelagibacterales.
ACUUAGUGGCAGACGGGUGAGUAACAUGUGGGUAUCUACCCUUUGGCCUGGAAUAACACGAGGAAACUUGUGCUAAUACCGGAUAAGUCUUUACGGAGAAAGCUUUAUGCACCAUUGGAUGAGCCCGCACUUGAUUAGUUUGUUGGUAGGGUAAUGGCCUACCAAGACUAUGAUCAAUAGCUGAUUUGAGAGGAUGAUCAGCCACAUUGGGACUGAGACACGGCCCAAACUCCUACGGGAGGCAGCAGUGGGGAAUCUUGCACAAUGGAGGAAACUCUGAUGCAGCGAUGCCGCGUGAGUGAAGAAGGCCUUUGGGUUGUAAAGCUCUUUCGUCGGGGAAGAAAAUGACUGUACCCGAAUA